This 584-nucleotide ribosomal RNA is filed under the name uncultured bacterium. RNAcentral's name for it is "partial 16S ribosomal RNA". It matches the Rfam family "Bacterial small subunit ribosomal RNA", at positions 355 to 1375 of the family's 1533-position model. The record is from RNAcentral.
UGGGGAAUUUUGGACAAUGGGCGAAAGCCUGAUCCAGCAAUGCCGCGUGUGUGAAGAAGGCCUUCGGGUUGUAAAGCACUUUUGUCCGGAAAGAAAUCCUUGGCUCUAAUACAGUCGGGGGAUGACGGUACCGGAAGAAUAAGCACCGGCUAACUACGUGCCAGCAGCCGCGGUAAUACGUAGGGUGCAAGCGUUAAUCGGAAUUACUGGGCGUAAAGCGUGCGCAGGCGGUUUGCUAAGACCGAUGUGAAAUCCCCGGGCUCAACCUGGGAACUGCAUUGGUGACUGGCAGGCUAGAGUAUGGCAGAGGGGGGUAGAAUUCCACGUGUAGCAGUGAAAUGCGUAGAGAUGUGAGGAAUACCGAUGGCGAAGGCAGCCCCCUGGGCCAAUACUGACGCUCAUGCACGAAAGCGUGGGGAGCAAAACAGGAUUAGAUACCCUGGUAGUCCACGCCCUAAACGAUGUCAACUAGUUGUUGGGGAUUCAUUCCUUAGUAACGUAGCUAACGCGUGAAGUUGACCGCCUGGGGAGUACGGUCGCAAGAUUAAAACUCAAAGGAAUUGACGGGGUCAUAGCUGUUUCCU